This is a long non-coding RNA of Chenopodium quinoa (quinoa), 318 nucleotides long. RefSeq lists it as uncharacterized. Lineage: Eukaryota; Viridiplantae; Streptophyta; Magnoliopsida; Caryophyllales; Amaranthaceae. The record is from RefSeq and is a predicted model, not a curated record. The transcript has 2 exons.
GGUAAAAUUCGACCAUGAAAACUCUAGAUCUAGAGUUUUCAUGGUCGAAUUUGACCUUUAUAACCCAAAUUCUAGAUAAUUUCGGGGGAUUUUUGGUGAAAUUCGAGGUGUUAAUUGAUGCAUCAAGAUUCAAGACAUGCAACAAGAUUCAAGACUUUGAUUUUGAAAAAUUGUUUUAGACGUAUUUUUUUUAUUUAUUAUUUUUUAUUGUACAAUAAUUUAAAGCUAAAUUUCAUUGUUUGAUUAUAAUUCAAUGUAAUUUUUUAAUUUUUUUUAGUAUUGUACAAUAACAAUUUACAAUAACAAUUCUUUUGCGCU